UUCAAGUAAUCCAGGAUAGGCUGGGCCCAUUCUCAUUGGCCUAUUCUUGGUUACUUGCACU
RNAcentral lists this microRNA precursor (61 nucleotides) under Sarcophilus harrisii (Tasmanian devil). RNAcentral's name for it is "Sha-Mir-26-P1_pre stem-loop". It matches the Rfam family "mir-26 microRNA precursor family", at positions 12 to 70 of the family's 81-position model. From Rfam's summary of the family: The hairpin precursors (represented here) are predicted based on base pairing and cross-species conservation -- their extents are not known. Lineage: Eukaryota; Metazoa; Chordata; Mammalia; Dasyuromorphia; Dasyuridae. The record is from RNAcentral.